CUUAUAAAAACUGAUCACCACAGGCAAUAUUAAUGCGAGAUACAAAUAGUGCCGGGAAUUCGCUCUUUAUCUGAUAAGGGACUAAAUAUGAGGUGAAAUUUAGUCAGAAGUUCUAAAGUUUUCCAUCCCAGUUAGAAUCGCAUAUUAAAUGAAGAAGAGGAACACCAGCUGACCACAUUAAGGACGUCGAAAACACCUCGCGGAUGAAUACCAUUUUUUCCGAGACCUCGGUCCUAAAGGCGUUCAAGUUCGGCGGGACAUUUUUUCCAAAUGCGAAGCGAGCUGGAGAGAUAAAAAUGUAAGUUUUUUGUGCAGGUGUCUGCGAGACCCAGGGUCAGAAAAGGGAUGGCACUCAUGGUUUCACAGUUUGAAAUUUAAAAUGGGAAACUACAGGCAAAAAUUAAGUUCAGCACGAUACCCUGAAGUGGUCUCAAACAAAAGAAAAUCUGGAAUUUCAAAAGGGGAAACUGUCAAAAAGUCAAAGAAGGGAGAGGUGAACUUCUGUCCUGAUCCAUCUGAAGGACACAGUCCUGAAAACAUGGAGGUGAAGCGCAAGAUAAUGGAGGCUGAAAUGCAGAAGAAAGACCCAAAUCAUCAGCUGCUUGAGGAUUUGAUGGUUGCUACAUUUUCUCAGCGUAGGAAAGACAUUGUAGGAGAUCAACCACACAUCACAGAGAUCAUCUCCUGAUGGCCUGCUCUGUUCCAUGAGAGACAGAUUAGGGCAGAAUUUACAAGAAUUGUCACCACAGACCUUCUGAAAUCUUUUCUUGACUGACUUGAUGGCCUGGUUUUGAGACUGCUGGAGGUCUACAAAGCAGCAACCAAAUCUGGAAAGAAGCAGCCACUCAAAGACAUUUUGGACUGCCUUGCAAAAGAUGACACAAAUGAAAGGAGAAGGGCUGCUGCUCUGCUUGGUUUGCCUCGCUACAUAUCUGGCGAAGAUCCAUCAACUGUCAUCAGGAUGUGUGAUGUAAGACUAACAAAAUUUCUUACAAAAACUGUUUACAUGUUUACCUAUUUCUCUUUCUUGCUAUCAUUUCUUUAAAAUCUUUUUGUAGCAUUUGUGUUUGCAAAAACAUAUUUUUAGUCCUUAUUAAGAGACAUCACUUCCUGUGUACUACAGCCAUGCAUAACAUCAAAUUCCGAUGUAAUUACUUUGUGUAUCCUUAUUAAUUUUGCUAAAAGCCAGUUGAUGGAAACAUGCCUGAUUUGCAUUUUCUUUCAUUUCUUUUGACAUUUUAAGAAUUUGAUGAUUAAAAAAAUGCAUUAAAAUGGAAACACUGCUGGUGUCCUACAUUUUUAGAAUAAUUUUAACUCUUCACAAUGGUGGUUUUUAAUCUGGUGAAGUUCUUAAUUGGAGCCUUUUAAGUACAUUUAUUUAUUGAGAUUUCAAUAAAAUUCUGUUUUAUUUGUCAAAUCGAUUUCUGUUUUUGUCAAUUUUGGUCCUCCAAUAAAUGUCAACACCUCUGCUUGUCUUGGACAAAUGUUUUCUUUUACACUUGAUUUAAGGCUUGUCUCAUAUUUGAUAGAGCAAGAUAAAAAUAAAUGUAUAAUAUUUGAAAUGGAAGUGUAUUUGGUGUAAUUAUUUUUAGGAAACUGGUGAA
This is a long non-coding RNA of Poeciliopsis prolifica (blackstripe livebearer), 1604 nucleotides long. RefSeq lists it as uncharacterized. The record is from RefSeq and is a predicted model, not a curated record. Lineage: Eukaryota; Metazoa; Chordata; Actinopteri; Cyprinodontiformes; Poeciliidae. The transcript has 4 exons.